AAUUGUACCCUGAAACUGCAUUGGCUGUUGAAUGGAGGGUCUGAGUCUGUCCAUGAGCAGAUUGGCCAGCCUGAGGUGGGCGGAAUUGGCCAUGAGAUUGUUGAUGAUGUUGAACAUUUAUCUGCGGUUGAAGUUGUGAAUGAGGUUGAUGCACAAACGGCUGCGGUUGGGCUUGAGAAGACUGGGGAGGGUGAACCUGGGCAGGAUGCUGCUGAUACUGUGGCACCUGCACAUUGUGUUGUGAAUGAGGUUGCAUCGGAUAGGGCUGAGGAUAUGGCGGAGGCUGAGUAGGUGGCUGAGCAUGAGAAGCCGGAAAUAUUUGUGAUGGAAUUUGGGUAUGAGACUGCCCAGUAGGUGGAAGCUGCUGCUGUGGGUUGACUUGAACCUGGUUUUG
RNAcentral lists this long non-coding RNA (394 nucleotides) under Nicotiana tabacum (common tobacco). RNAcentral describes it as "long non-coding RNA (NTAB_LNC007249)". The record is from RNAcentral. Lineage: Eukaryota; Viridiplantae; Streptophyta; Magnoliopsida; Solanales; Solanaceae.